This 416-nucleotide ribosomal RNA is filed under the name uncultured bacterium. RNAcentral describes it as "bacterial SSU rRNA". It matches the Rfam family "Bacterial small subunit ribosomal RNA", at positions 94 to 526 of the family's 1533-position model. The record is from RNAcentral.
AGUGGCGAAAGGGUGAGUAACACGUGAGCAACCUGCCCUCGAGUUCGGGAUAGCCCGCGGAAACGUGGAUUAAUACCGAAUGUGGUACCCUGUCUCAUGGCGGGGCUACUGAAGAUUUAUCGCUCGGGGAUGGACUCGCGGCCCAUAAGCUUGUUGGCGGGGUAACGGCCCACCAAGGCUAUGACGGGUAGGUGGUCUGAGAGGAUGGUCACCCACACUGGGACUGAGACACUGCCCAGACUCCUACGGGAGGCUGCAGUCGAGAAUCUUCCGCAAUGGGCGCAAGCCUGACGGAGCAAUGCCGCGUGAGGGAUGAAGGCCUUCGGGUUGUAAACCUCUGUCAGAGGGGACGAAGAAUGUGACGGUACCCUCAGAGGAAGCCACGGCUAACUACGUGCCAGCAGCCGCGGUAAUAC